RNAcentral lists this small RNA (89 nucleotides) under Drosophila guanche. The record is from RNAcentral. Lineage: Eukaryota; Metazoa; Arthropoda; Insecta; Diptera; Drosophilidae.
CAAACAACGAAAUAAAUUCACACACACACACACACAUGUGUAGCACAUAUGCAGAUAUUUAUGUGUGUGUGUGUGUGUGGAGACAAGAC